CCGGUACCAAAAGCCGGCCUCUUGCUUGUCGAUAUUUUCAAGUCUCUGACGACUCCUCACUAUUAUCUCUACCUCUCUCAUUUCUCCACCUCUCAUCUCUCUCUUCCUUAUCCUCUCUCGCUGAAGAAGCCGGGCGUGGAUAGGAUUCCGAGCGGCAGGGCGCCACUGCCGCGGAGCGCGAGGAGCUGCCGGGCGUGCAGGCACCUAGCCGCUGGCCGCUGCCGCCGCCGGGCGCUGCCGUGGUGCGCCGGCUGCCACCGCGGCGCAGAGCGCGCGGGCUCCGCUUGCCGCCAUGCAGAAGAUCUUGGAGUUCGGCACCGACCUCCGCGCGGGAGACGGCCGUGGGAGCUAGCCCCCGUGGGGCGAGCAACUCUACCCGGCGGCAAGCAGGUCCACUCGGCGGCGAGCAACGGCCAGCGGAUCCGCGUGGCUGGCGCCGCGUGGCCGGCGAGAAGCUCCGCGCAGGAGCCGGCCGUGGGAGCUAGCCCCCGUGGGGCGAGCAGCUCUACCCAGCGGCGAGCGGGUCCACCCGGUGGCGCGGCCGGCAAGGAGCUCCGUGGCGGGCGAGCAACUCCUGUGAAGUGUGGGCGGCCGUCGAGGAGUCCCAGUGGGCGAGCGAGAAGCCGCCGCCGUGGGUGAUUUUUUUUUCUUUUUUUUUCCUACUUUUCUGUAAUAGAGAUGCAUGUGGAAUUGUAUGGAUUAAUUGUAUCUAUCUUGUGAUCGAUUCUUUGAAUGAUUUGCGAAAUCUAUGGAUUGUAUCUAUAUUUUGUGGUUGAUUA
Panicum virgatum (switchgrass) is the source of this 779-nucleotide long non-coding RNA. RefSeq lists it as uncharacterized. The record is from RefSeq and is a predicted model, not a curated record. NCBI's taxonomy places the organism in Eukaryota, Viridiplantae, Streptophyta, Magnoliopsida, Poales, Poaceae. The transcript is spliced from 2 exons.